Molecule: ribosomal RNA, 501 nt
Filed under: uncultured Desulfobulbus sp.
Lineage: Bacteria; Pseudomonadati; Thermodesulfobacteriota; Desulfobulbia; Desulfobulbales; Desulfobulbaceae
Description: bacterial SSU rRNA
Rfam family: Bacterial small subunit ribosomal RNA
Source: RNAcentral
CCCGCUCAGAAACUACAAAGGAAGUUGACGGGGCCCGCACAAGCGGUGGAGUAUGUGGUUUAAUUCGAUGCAACGCGAAGAACCUUACCUGGUCUUGACAUCCCGGAGACCCUUAGGAAACUAGGGGGUGCUUCCAUCUGGAAGAAUCUGGAGACAGGUGCUGCAUGGCUGUCGUCAGCUCGUGUCGUGAGAUGUUGGGUUAAGUCCCGCAACGAGCGCAACCCUUGCCUUUAGUUGCCAGCAGUUCGGCUGGGCACUCUAAAGGGACUGCCGGUGUUAAACCGGAGGAAGGUGGGGAUGACGUCAAGUCCUCAUGGCCUUUAUGACCAGGGCUACACACGUACUACAAUGGCCGAUACAAAGGGCAGCGACACUGCGAGGUGAAGCCAAUCCCGUAGAAUCGGUCUCAGUCCGGAUUGGAGUCUGCAACUCGACUCCAUGAAGUUGGAAUCGCUAGUAAUCGUGGAUCAGCAUGCCACGGUGAAUACGUUCCCGGGCCUU